GACGAACGCUGGCGGCGUGCUUAACACAUGCAAGUCGAACGGAAAGGCCCUUCGGGGUACUCGAGUGGCGAACGGGUGAGUAACACGUGGGUGAUCUGCCCUGCACUUUGGGAUAAGCCUGGGAAACUGGGUCUAAUACCGAAUAGGACCACGCGCUUCAUGGUGUGUGGUGGAAAGCUUUUGCGGUGUGGGAUGGGCCCGCGGCCUAUCAGCUUGUUGGUGGGGUAAUGGCCUUCCAAGGCGACGACGGGUAGCCGGCCUGAGAGGGUGACCGGCCACACUGGGACUGAGAUACGGCCCAGACUCCUACGGGAGGCAGCAGUGGGGAAUAUUGCACAAUGGGCGCAAGCCUGAUGCAGCGACGCCGCGUGAGGGAUGACAGCCUUCGGGUUGUAAACCUCUUUCAAUAGGGACGAAGCGCAAGUGACGGUACCUAUAGAAGAAGCACCGGCCAACUACGUG
RNAcentral lists this ribosomal RNA (462 nucleotides) under uncultured bacterium. RNAcentral's name for it is "partial 16S ribosomal RNA". It matches the Rfam family "Bacterial small subunit ribosomal RNA", at positions 28 to 507 of the family's 1533-position model. The record is from RNAcentral.